GACGAACGCUGGCGGCGUGCUUAACACAUGCAAGUCGAACGGAAAGGCCCUGCUUUUGUGGGGUGCUCGAGUGGCGAACGGGUGAGUAACACGUGAGUAACCUGCCCUUGACUUUGGGAUAACUUCAGGAAACUGGGGCUAAUACCGGAUAGGAGCUCCUGCUGCAUGGUGGGGGUUGGAAAGUUUCGGCGGUUGGGGAUGGACUCGCGGCUUAUCAGCUUGUUGGUGGGGUAGUGGCUUACCAAGGCUUUGACGGGUAGCCGGCCUGAGAGGGUGACCGGCCAAUUUGGGCAGGAGACACGGCCCAAGCCCCUGCGGGGGGCAGAAGGGGGGAAAUUUGCACAAGGGGGGGAAGCCUGCUGCAGCAACCCCGCGGGCGGGAUGACGGCCUUCGGGUUGUAAACCGCUUUCGCCUGUAACGAAGCGUGGGUGACGGUAAUGGGGAAAGAAGCCCCGGCAAACUACGU
This 467-nucleotide ribosomal RNA is filed under the name uncultured bacterium. Its description in RNAcentral is "partial 16S ribosomal RNA". It matches the Rfam family "Bacterial small subunit ribosomal RNA", at positions 28 to 506 of the family's 1533-position model. The record is from RNAcentral.